Molecule: long non-coding RNA, 244 nt
Filed under: Bos taurus (domestic cattle)
Lineage: Eukaryota; Metazoa; Chordata; Mammalia; Artiodactyla; Bovidae
Description: long non-coding RNA NONBTAT019146
Source: RNAcentral
CUUAGCAACAACUCCCUUUAUUCUUACACCUCAAGGAUGGGCGUAAGACCCGGGCCUGGCCAGUUACAGCGUCCUGGUCCAGUGGGCAGGGAGCAUACGAAACAGUCUUCAGAAUCCCAGUCUAACACAUAGUGUGUUUGGCCUCAAGGUCCUUCAUUGGCUUUGCUUUAAGUUUCUUCUAUGUCCUUCUUGGGGUAAUAUUUUUAAUUCUUGGAACUGUUAAGAGGAUUCAUUAAAGCUAAGG